This 254-nucleotide ribosomal RNA is filed under the name uncultured bacterium. RNAcentral's name for it is "partial 16S ribosomal RNA". It matches the Rfam family "Bacterial small subunit ribosomal RNA", at positions 524 to 776 of the family's 1533-position model. The record is from RNAcentral.
CACGUAGGCACCAAGCGUUGUCCGGAUUUAUUGGGCGUAAAGAGCUCGUAGGCGGUUCGGUAAGUCGGGUGUGAAAACUCUGGGCUCAACCCAGAGCCGCCACCCGAUACUGCUGUGACUCGAGUGCGGUAGGGGAGCGGGGAAUUCCUGGUGUAGCGGUGAAAUGCGCAGAUAUCAGGAGGAACACCAGUGGCGAAGGCGGCUCACUGGACCGGUACUGACGCUGAUGCGCGAAAGCGUGGGGAGCAAACGGG